This 439-nucleotide ribosomal RNA is filed under the name uncultured bacterium. RNAcentral describes it as "partial 16S ribosomal RNA". It matches the Rfam family "Bacterial small subunit ribosomal RNA", at positions 339 to 795 of the family's 1533-position model. The record is from RNAcentral.
CUACGGGUGGCUGCAGUGGGGAAUAUUGCACAAUGGGGGAAACUCUGAUGCAGCAACGCCGCGUGGAGGAUGACACUUUUCGGAGCGUAAACUCCUUUUAUAUAGGAAGAAGAUGACGGUACUAUAUGAAUAAGCGCCGGCUAACUCCGUGCCAGCAGCCGCGGUAAUACGGAGGGCGCAAGCGUUACUCGGAAUCACUGGGCGUAAAGAGCGUGUAGGCGGAUUAAAAAGUCAGAAGUGAAAUCCUAUAGCUUAACUAUAGAACUGCUUCUGAAACUCUUAAUCUAGAAUAUGGGAGAGGUAGAUGGAAUUUCUGGUGUAGGGGUAAAAUCCGUAGAGAUCGGAAGGAAUACCGAUUGCGAAGGCGAUCUACUAGAACAUUAUUGACGCUGAGACGCGAAAGCGUGGGGAGCAAACAGGAUUAGAUACCCUCGUAGUC